RNAcentral lists this ribosomal RNA (497 nucleotides) under uncultured bacterium. RNAcentral describes it as "partial 16S ribosomal RNA". It matches the Rfam family "Bacterial small subunit ribosomal RNA", at positions 28 to 507 of the family's 1533-position model. The record is from RNAcentral.
GAUGAACGCUGGCGGCGUGCCUAAUACAUGCAAGUCGAGCGAACGGACGAGAAGCUUGCUUCCCUGCUGUUAGCGGCGGACGGGUGAGUAACACGUGGAUAACCUACCUAUAAGACUGGGAUAACUUCGGGAAACCGGAGCUAAUACCGGCUAAUAUUUUGAACCGCAUGGUUCAAAAGUGAAAGACGGUCUUGCUGUCACUUAUAGGUGGAUCCGCGCUGCAUUAGCUAGUUGGUAAGGUAACGGCUUACCAAGGCAACGAUGCAUAGCCGACCUGAGAGGGUGAUCGGCCACACUGGAACUGAGACACGGUCCAGACUCCUACGGGAGGCAGCAGUAGGGAAUCUUCCGCAAUGGGCGAAAGCCUGACGGAGCAACGCCGCGUGAGUGAUGAAGGUCUUCGGAUCGUAAAACUCUGUUGUUAGGAAAGAACAUAUGUGUAAGUAACUGUGCACAUCUUGACGGUACCUAAAGAGAAAGCCACGGCUAACUACGUG